Molecule: ribosomal RNA, 492 nt
Filed under: uncultured bacterium
Lineage: Bacteria
Description: partial 16S ribosomal RNA
Rfam family: Bacterial small subunit ribosomal RNA
Source: RNAcentral
GAUGAACGCUGGCUACAGGCUUAACACAUGCAAGUCGAGGGGAAACGGCAUUGAGUGCUUGCACUGAAUGGACGUCGACCGGCGCACGGGUGAGUAACGCGUAUCCAACCUUCCCGUUACUGCGGGAUAACCUGCCGAAAGGCAGACUAAUACCGCAUGUUCUUCGAUGACGGCAUCAGAUUCGAAGCAAAGAUCCGUCGGUAGCGGAGGGGGAUGCGUCUGAUUAGCUAGUUGGCGGGGCGACGGCCCACCAAGGCGACGAUCAGUAGGGGUUCUGAGAGGAAGGUCCCCCACAUUGGAACUGAGACACGGUCCAAACUCCUACGGGAGGCAGCAGUGAGGAAUAUUGGUCAAUGGGCGGAAGCCUGAACCAGCCAAGUAGCGUGCAGGAUGACGGCCCUACGGGUUGUAAACUGCUUUUAUGCGGGGAUAAAGUGAGGGACGCGUCCCUUUUUGCAGGUACCGCAUGAAUAAGGACCGGCUAAUUCCGUG